UAGGCGUAACGCUUCUCCAGCCUGUGCUGCCCCAAGCUUAUACGAGUAGAUUGGGAUACGGGGCUCCGGCGGCGGACCUCGCCAUGUGCUGCGCCGCGACCUCACCGGCGGGCGGCGGCUACGCUGCGACCUCGCGGUGUUCCUACGUACAGGUGACAACCAGUUCCAUCCCCGCGUCGCCAUUCUCCACCUCGGUGUCACCCCCUCACCACACACGGCACCUACCUCCGCCAUCUGCCGACGCCUAGAUCCGCCAUCCGCCGACGCCGUAGAAGAAAAAUCCGGCCUUCAGGUGUAAGAAAAUGGAACUACAUUCCUACAGAUUUAGUAUUUUUGUGCUAUGUGUCAUGGCAUGCCUUAAUGCAUUGCUAAAUAUAUGUUGCUGCACUCAGGAAAAAGAGCAAGUAGCGUCUACAAAGGUUCAACAUCAGCAGAUUGUUCUACUUACCAAGGCGGACAUGACAACUCAAACGCACAGCCCAACCCAUUGGAGAGGACACCCUUUACUUUCCGAGUUUCCGUUAAAUAAUGGAUGAAAAAAUGCCUUUGUUCAUGUGAUAUAUGGACCUAGUUCAAGUACGCCUGUUGAAUAUGUUGGUCCAAUAUAUGUAUACCCGCUAAUUUGUUAUGCCUUGGUUGUAAAUAUUGAGCUGCAACUCUAGUUAUGCACUUCAUGUUAGAUUUGUGUGUUUUGUCACGCGGUGGUUCAUGAUAUUACUGUCGUACUAUGAGCUUUGAAAUGGCAAGAUGGUUGU
Triticum aestivum (bread wheat) is the source of this 755-nucleotide long non-coding RNA. RefSeq lists it as uncharacterized. The record is from RefSeq and is a predicted model, not a curated record. NCBI's taxonomy places the organism in Eukaryota, Viridiplantae, Streptophyta, Magnoliopsida, Poales, Poaceae. The transcript has 4 exons.